RNAcentral lists this non-coding RNA (27 nucleotides) under Cricetulus griseus (Chinese hamster). The record is from RNAcentral. Lineage: Eukaryota; Metazoa; Chordata; Mammalia; Rodentia; Cricetidae.
CAGGAAAAAAAGAACCAUUUGGCUAUA